AUGGAUGGGUGAAUGGAUGGUUGGUUGGUAGAAUAAUAGAUGAAUGGUUUUGUUGGAUGGCUCGAUGGAUGAUGUGUGGGUGUGAUGGAUCCAUCCAACCAUCCAGCUGCCCACCAACACACCCUUCUCUUCCCUCCAUCAUUCUCCCUCCUUCCAGACUCCAGUUUUCCCAGUCUCCAUAUUUAAAUCCUGACCGCUGCAGAAAUUCCUACCAUAAACUCGUAGUGAACUUUUCUAUUUAAUGUUUUGAACUUGGCAUCAAAACUCAUUAGAACUCUGGAAAUUUGAGAGUGGAAACGUGUGGAACUUUGUCAUGAAAAAUGCGUGGGAACCCAAAGGAACGCAGAGAAAAAAGACCAGCUGGAUGGACGCUGCAGUGAUCCUUUGUAAUCCUAAAAUUGACUCAAUAAAGAGGCUUACGAACAAAAAAAGGGUACAUUAUUUUAUUUCCCUCCAACUUAUGGCAGACAGAGCCAAAAAAUAUGGAAAACAGGAGGUGAUUUGUGGCCAGCCGCUGACGUGAGCCGCCUGUCAGCAAGCCCCGCUGACCUUUGCCAAUAAAUGAGGCAGAAAUAUACUGUUUAGACUCAGCGGCUUGACAGAUGACUGUAUUUGCAUGCGUGUGGUUAGGGACCAAAUGUGUCGGGGCUGUAGGGUGCACGGCAGCCCAGCACACUCUGCCUGUCCGUGGAAUUUCAGCUGGCUCCCAACACAUCCUGACCUGCCUCUUAGCUCCACCUCUUCCCAGUUCUGACAUGCAAAGCUAAAACUACGAGAGGAAGCGCUUAACGUCAUUGACCCAUAACUGUUACUUCUAAGAGAUUCAGAUAUUCUAACUUAAAUUUCUUUUGCAUCUUGAGGAUCAAAAUAUGACAGCAAGUGGAAGGGUUGUUGGGUUUUACAGUAAGAUUAAUGACUCAAACUGGAGGGAAAAAAUGAUAGAUUCACACAAUAAAUAUGCAUGACUAGAUGUUCUUAUUCCUACUUAAGAAUAAAACACAAUUUAUUAGAAUUAAAAAUAGUGAAUUGUAAAAGUUUUCCAUUGGCUAUUUUGAUUAGAAAAAAUCCCUCAAAGCAUCACUCCUAUUUUGUUUAAAACUGUUUUCUGUAGAGGAGCUAUGGCUGCCUCAGACGGUGCUGGCCACCAGAGAAACCCUCUACCUGCUGGACGAAGAUCACCAAUGGAGGAAAAGCGUCUCGGUGGCACCUGAGGACAGCCAGGCGCGCAGUGGGAGCGUCGCCAUCCUGGAAACUCUUCCGAUCAGCUGCGUGAGCUCGGUUCUGCUGUGGGCCUCGGACCCGCUCAGGAUGGACUUUAAGCUUUACGAUGAGACUGUGAAACAGGAGAAGACGUGGUGCGUGCGCACGGAGAGUGCUGAGCUCCUCCAGGGCCUGCUGUCCUGGGUCAGGGCACAGUGGGAGGCUAUGUUCGGAGUCAAGCUGCACAUGGGUCUGCAAGACGAGCCGUCGUAAUGGAUCCAAACAAACAAAACAACAAAAGCCGGAGUUUUAGGCUUUAGUCCUAUGCAGGUUAUUGAGCGAGUCUGCAUCUUUUGUUUUCUCUGCACUCAGUCUGCUCCCAUUACGCUUGUUGCUUCAAGCCAAGAGCUUGGAAAUGAUUGCACUCAUUCAUGUGGUACACAAGCCUGUAAAAAAGCUCUGCUUGCAUAAUUUUUCCUCCAGGAAAAAGAAAAAACCAACAUCUACAGUGAAUUUUUCUACAGCUGAAAUGAAGAGUGCCUUGUUUCUUUGUGAAGAUGAGACGUCCUGGUUUGGCGAUGCACGUAAAUGCACGUCGUGUUUUCUGGAUCACCUGUAGCGCUUUGCCAAUGUAGGGCAGGUUCCUCCGGCUGGGAUAAAUGGCAAUAAGACUUUAAAUGCGUCCAGCCGUCAUGCGCUCAACACGAGGAACGGCUAAGGCUCUCAUCAAGGGAAACCUUUGACCCCAAUUAGGGUGUCAUAGUUGGUCUAAGUAUAAAUGGUCUUGUAUACUGUUUAAAAUGUAAUCCACAGGUGUUCCAGAUGUGUGAAUUAAGAAUUUAUAUUAAAUAGAUCAUCAGGAAAAAUCUAACCUAGCUAAAAUCUAACUUAAGUUAUGUUGUUGAUCCAGAAUGCUCACUUUUAUUUUUGUAUAAAUGUGUCAUAAAUGUGUUUGCUUGGAUAUAAAAAAAAGAAAAAGUUGUCUUUGUUCAUGUCGUUGCAUGUCCUUGAACAAUUUUGCUGAGUUGCUGUUGCAAAUUUACAAAACAGACACAUUUUAUUUAUUGAUGAUCCUGCUGAUGGACUCAUGAUGGUGAGAUUGGAAAAAUAAAAAGAUACCCGAAGCUGAAAUUUCU
Molecule: long non-coding RNA, 2336 nt
Organism: Poecilia latipinna (sailfin molly)
Lineage: Eukaryota; Metazoa; Chordata; Actinopteri; Cyprinodontiformes; Poeciliidae
Exons: 2
Source: RefSeq, a predicted model, not a curated record